UACGGAGGGUGCGAGCGUUGUCCGGAAUCACUGGGCGUAAAGGGCGCGUAGGCGGCAGGCCAAGCGUGCGGUGAAAGUCCGGGGCUCAACCCCGGAUCGGCCGUGCGGACUGGUUUGCUAGAGCACUGUAGAGGCGAGUGGAAUUCCGGGUGUAGCGGUGGAAUGCGUAGAGAUCCGGAAGAACACCGGUGGCGAAGGCGGCUCGCUGGGCAGUGGCUGACGCUGAGGCGCGACAGCGUGGGGAGCAAACAGG
Molecule: ribosomal RNA, 253 nt
Filed under: uncultured bacterium
Lineage: Bacteria
Also listed under: 1 other name
Description: partial 16S ribosomal RNA
Rfam family: Bacterial small subunit ribosomal RNA
Source: RNAcentral